GAUGAACGCUAGCUACAGGCUUAACACAUGCAAGUCGAGGGGAAACGAUGAGAGAGCUUGCUCUCUCAGGCGUCGACCGGCGCACGGGUGAGUAACGCGUAUCCAACCUGCCCAUUACAGGGGAAUAACCUUGCGAAAGUAAGACUAAUGCCCCAUGGUAUUCUCAGCAGACAUCUAAUGAGGAUUAAAGAUUUAUCGGUAAUGGAUGGGGAUGCGUCUGAUUAGCUUGUUGGCGGGGUAACGGCCCACCAAGGCAACGAUCAGUAGGGGUUCUGAGAGGAAGGUCCCCCACAUUGGAACUGAGACACGGUCCAAACUCCUACGGGAGGCAGCAGUGGGGAAUAUUGGUCAAUGGACGAGAGUCUGAACCAGCCAAGUAGCGUGCAGGAUGACGGCCCUAUGGGUUGUAAACUGCUUUUAUAGGGGAAUAAAGUGAUCUACGUGUAGUUUAUUGUAUGUACCCUAUGAAUAAGGACCGGCUAAUUCCGUGCCAGCAGCCGCGGUAAUACGGAAGGUUCGGGCGUUAUCCGGAUUUAUUGGGUUUAAAGGGAGCGUAGGCCGUAGAUUAAGCGUGUUGUGAAAUGUAGAUGCUCAACAUCUGACUUGCAGCGCGAACUGGUUUACUAGAGUGUGCACAACGUAGGCGGAAUUCGUCGUGUAGCGGUGAAAUGCUUAGAUAUGACGAAGAACUCCGAUUGCGAAGGCAGCUUACGGGAGCACAACUGACGCUGAAGCUCGAAGGUGCGGGUAUCAAACAGGAUUAGAUACCCUGGUAGUCCGCACAGUAAACGCUGGAUGCCCGCUGUUGGUUCAUUAGAGUCAGCGGCCAAGCGAAAGCAUUAAGCAUCCCACCUGGGGAGUACGCCGGCAACGGUGAAACUCAAAGGAAUUGACGGGGGCCCGCACAAGCGGAGGAACAUGUGGUUUAAUUCGAUGAUACGCGAGGAACCCUACCCCGGGCCUGAAAUUGCAGACGAACGCGGCAGAGAUGCCAAGGGCCCUUCGGGGCGUCUGUGAAGGUGCUGCAUUGGUGUCGUCAGCUCGUGCCGUGAGGUGUCGGCCUAAGUGCCAUAACGAGCGCAACCCCUUUUCUUAGUUGCCAUCAGGGUCAUGCCUGGGCACUCAUGGAAAAUCCGCCCACGAUAGGGGUGUAGGAACGGGUGGGAAAUACGUUCAAAUCACCACGGCCCUUACGUUCGGGGGCCUACACCUGUU
This 1215-nucleotide ribosomal RNA is filed under the name Prevotella sp. Its description in RNAcentral is "bacterial SSU rRNA". It matches the Rfam family "Bacterial small subunit ribosomal RNA", at positions 28 to 1226 of the family's 1533-position model. Lineage: Bacteria; Pseudomonadati; Bacteroidota; Bacteroidia; Bacteroidales; Prevotellaceae. The record is from RNAcentral. RNAcentral also lists the same sequence under 2 other names.